CAGAUGGCCAGCUCCUGGCAGCUUUCAUCCCCAGCAGUCAGAGGGGCUUUCCCGAUGAAGGGAUCCUGGCAGCGUACUCCCUGGCCCCCCAUAACCUGGGUGAAAUGCUGUAUGCCAAGCGAUUUGUUUCUCCAAACCAAACGGAGUCUCUCUCUGUGCUGCAAGGCCUGGAAUUGGGGGUGAGGAGACAGAAGCAACCCUGUGGCUAUCACCAACCGGUACUGUGCGGGUUCACACUCCAACCCAGCACAGCACUGGUCUCACUCAAGGUCCUGCUAUAUCCACUACCCGGUAGGUAGCACCUAUGUUCCCUCAGGGCCCUAGAGGUGUACCAGUGUUAAACUCUAGAGCCAGCCAGGUUUAUGUCCCUUGCUUCAGGGCAGUGAGCUCCCUCAAGCCCUGGGUGGGUGGGUGGGUGCUGGGAUGCUGUUUUGGAGCCAAGGUUUGGAGUCAAGACGUUAGCAAUGUAACUGACGUUUUAUUCUACCGCAGUUAAGCUCCCAUGCAAACCACGAGAAAAAAGUCCUCCCCACUCUUGGCUAACUGAAAGAUGCCACCGAUGAGGUUUCCUUUUUCUAGCCAAAGCACCUUUCUUAUUCACAGGGACUAGGCAAGGUACCUGGUAUUUUCCUGCCGGGCUGGAAUGAAAAAGUCAAAUAAAGAUCAGGUAUAAUCCUAACCAACUGUUUCUUUGCAGGAACAUGGGUGAAGCUGGAAGCAGUGGUUGUCAGCAAACUGACAGAGGACCAGAAGACCAAACUCCACAUGUUCUCACUCCUAAGUGGAAAUGAGAACACAUGGUCACAGGGGAGGGGAACAUCACACACUGGAGCCUGAAGGGGGUUGGGGGCCGAGGGGAGAGAGGACAACUGCGUCAUACAUAAUGCCCGCCGGGCUUAAAAUCUAGACGGCUGGUUGAGAGGUGCCGCCAACCACCGUGGCACAUGUAUACCUAUGUAUUCCAGAAGAAAGAAAGAAAGAAAAAAAGGAAAAAGGAAGAGAAAGAAGUUUAAAGUUGAGGGUGGGCAAAAGUAGCGGACCCCACAGCAGUGGGCUGCCAAGCUAGGAUGUGAGAACCUUCCAGAAACAAUUGUACAGGCUUCCUACCCAGAAACAGAAAACGAGUAUAGCAUUUCCAAAGCCCUGGUGCUGUACAGCAGAAGCGUUUCUCAGGAGCCGGCCACGAACCCACCAAGAAACCGGCGAACGCUUAUGCAGAAACAUCAGAAGGUCAUUGGAAUAACCAAACAAGCCCACGCCGCAAAAUUCGUCUAACUUUGCAAACAGAUUGUGUCCCCCGAAGGGGUGCACCGUUCCUGGAAGUACUGCAAUACCAGGCCGAUGCGUGGAGUGGACGGAGCAAGCUCCUAUUCCAUCUCCCUGCUCCAAAAAUCCAUUUAAUAUAUUGUCCUCGGAUAGAGGACGUAUCAGAUAUUAAACUGAUAAGAACAGAUACUACACUUGAUCUUAGCCAAAAGGCCGAGAAGCGAUAACCACUACCGCCACGCAGGCCACGACUCACAUUCGUCCACUCACCCUGAGCUCACGGUAAGAAAUAUCAUCUUCAAGUAAAGAAGCCCUCUCUUCCCUACCUUCACACGGUACUCAUUGUUACAAUUUGCAACGUUGUAUAAGUAAUACGGUUACAAGUUUGGGGGGAUAUUUACU
Molecule: long non-coding RNA, 1668 nt
Organism: Callithrix jacchus (white-tufted-ear marmoset)
Lineage: Eukaryota; Metazoa; Chordata; Mammalia; Primates; Cebidae
Source: Ensembl